AUAGCGUAUAUUAAAGUUGUUGCAGUUAAAAAGCUCGUAGUUGAACCUUGGGCCUGGCUGGCCGGUCCGCCUCACCGCGUGCACUGGUCCGGCCGGGCCUUUCCUUCUGGGGAGCCGCAUGCCCUUCACUGGGUGUGUCGGGGAACCAGGACUUUUACUUUGAAAAAAUUAGAGUGUUCAAAGCAGGCCUUUGCUCGGAUACAUUAGCAUGGAAUAAUAGAAUAGGACGUGCGGUUUUAUUUUGUUGGUUUCUAGAACCGCCGUAAUGAUUAAUAGGGAUAGUCGGGGGCAUCAGUAUUCAAUUGUCAGAGGUGAAAUUCUUGGAUUUAUUGAAGACUAACUACUG
This 346-nucleotide ribosomal RNA is filed under the name Cenococcum geophilum. Its description in RNAcentral is "SSU rRNA". It matches the Rfam family "Eukaryotic small subunit ribosomal RNA", at positions 594 to 945 of the family's 1831-position model. The record is from RNAcentral. Lineage: Eukaryota; Fungi; Ascomycota; Dothideomycetes; Gloniales; Gloniaceae.